GAUGAACGCUGGCGGCGUGCUUAACACAUGCAAGUCGAACGAAGCAUUUGCGACAGAUUUUUUCGGAAUGAAGUUGCUUAUGACUGAGUGGCGGACGGGUGAGUAACGCGUGGGUAACCUGCCUUGUACUGGGGGAUAGCAGCUGGAAACGGCUGGUAAUACCGCAUAAGCGCACAAUGUUGCAUGACAUGGUGUGAAAAACUCCGGUGGUAUAAGAUGGACCCGCGUCUGAUUAGCUAGUUGGUGAGAUAACAGUCCACCAAGGCGACGAUCAGUAGCCGACCUGAGAGGGUGACCGGCCACAUUGGGACUGAGACACGGCCCAGACUCCUACGGGAGGCAGCAGUGGGGAAUAUUGCACAAUGGAGGAAACUCUGAUGCAGCGACGCCGCGUGAGUGAAGAAGUAAUUCGUUAUGUAAAGCUCUAUCAGCAGGGAAGAUAGUGACGGUACCUGACUAAGAAGCUCCGGCUAAAUACGUG
Molecule: ribosomal RNA, 481 nt
Filed under: uncultured bacterium
Lineage: Bacteria
Description: partial 16S ribosomal RNA
Rfam family: Bacterial small subunit ribosomal RNA
Source: RNAcentral